This 303-nucleotide signal recognition particle RNA is filed under the name Nannospalax galili (Upper Galilee mountains blind mole rat). RNAcentral's name for it is "Metazoan signal recognition particle RNA (ENSNGAG00000006672.1)". It matches the Rfam family "Metazoan signal recognition particle RNA". From Rfam's summary of the family: The signal recognition particle (SRP) is a universally conserved ribonucleoprotein. Lineage: Eukaryota; Metazoa; Chordata; Mammalia; Rodentia; Spalacidae. The record is from RNAcentral.
GCCAGGCGCGGUGGUGCAUGCCUGUAGUCCCAGCUACUCGGGAGGCUGAGGCAGGAGGAUCACUUGAGUCCAGGAGUUCUGGGCUGUAGUGUGCUAUGCUACUUGGGUGCCUGUACUAAGGUCAGCAUCAAUAUGGUGACCUCCCAGGAGUGGGGGACCACCAGGUUGCCUAAGGAGGGGUGAACCAGCCCAGAUCGGAAACGGAGCAGGUCAUUAAGGCAGGGACGGAUGAUGGAACAGAGGUGCUCACCUUAUAGCAGCCAGGAAGCAGAGUGAAAACAUCCAAGUUAGCUGGUUCCUCCU